CCUACGGGAGGCAGCAGUGGGGAAUAUUGCGCAAUGGGCGAAAGCCUGACGCAGCGACGCCGCGUGAGGGAUGAAGGUCUUCGGAUCGUAAACCUCUGUCAGCAGGGAAGAACGGUCACUGUGCUAAUCAGCAGUGCAUUGACGGUACCUGCAAAGGAAGCACCGGCUACCUCCGUGCCAGCAGCCGCGUUAAUACGGGGGGUGCGAGCGUUAAUCGGAAUUACUGGGCGUAAAGCGCUCGUGGGCGGGCUGUCAAGUCAAGGGUGAAAUCCCCGCGCUCAACGGGGGAACUGCCUUUGAAACUGGUAAACGGGAGUGUGAGAGAGGAGAGUGGA
Molecule: ribosomal RNA, 335 nt
Filed under: uncultured bacterium
Lineage: Bacteria
Description: partial 16S ribosomal RNA
Rfam family: Bacterial small subunit ribosomal RNA
Source: RNAcentral